RNAcentral lists this small nuclear RNA (149 nucleotides) under Microtus ochrogaster (prairie vole). RNAcentral's name for it is "U1 spliceosomal RNA (ENSMOCG00000011141.1)". It matches the Rfam family "U1 spliceosomal RNA", at positions 19 to 166 of the family's 166-position model. From Rfam's summary of the family: U1 is a small nuclear RNA (snRNA) component of the spliceosome (involved in pre-mRNA splicing). Lineage: Eukaryota; Metazoa; Chordata; Mammalia; Rodentia; Cricetidae. The record is from RNAcentral.
AAACCUAGUCUGCACAGUCGCCAAGGUGACUUUCUCAGGGUGAGGCUUAUCCAUUGCACUCCCGAUGUGCCGACCCUUACAAUUUCCCCAAAUGUGGGGAACUUGACUGCGUAAUCUGUAGUACUGAUGGGUCUUCAUGCUUCCCACUG